UCCCCUGUAGCUCAAUGGCAGAGCAUCCGGCUGUUAACCGGAGGGUUGUAGGUUCGAAUCCUACCAGGGGAG
RNAcentral lists this transfer RNA (72 nucleotides) under Rubrobacter xylanophilus DSM 9941. RNAcentral's name for it is "tRNA-Asn (GTT) (tRNA-Asn-GTT-1-1)". It matches the Rfam family "tRNA". Rfam says of the family: Transfer RNA (tRNA) molecules are approximately 80 nucleotides in length. Their secondary structure includes four short double-helical elements and three loops (D, anti-codon, and T loops). The record is from Rfam by way of RNAcentral. Lineage: Bacteria; Bacillati; Actinomycetota; Rubrobacteria; Rubrobacterales; Rubrobacteraceae.